This 506-nucleotide unclassified non-coding RNA is filed under the name Hevea brasiliensis (rubber tree). The record is from RNAcentral. Lineage: Eukaryota; Viridiplantae; Streptophyta; Magnoliopsida; Malpighiales; Euphorbiaceae.
AGCAGUUGGAGAGAUUGCGAAGGCGGCAAUCAUCCACUCCUCGCCCUGCAAUGGAUAUGGACAAGGACAGACCAAUGGUACAAGUGAAGAUUGAAAACCCAUCAGAAUUGCCAAUGGAUGGAAAUGCCUUCAAUGCCAUCCACUCCAGACAUCCACAAUUGCAGUACCGUCAGCAACAACUUGCUGCAAUUUCAAAUCUCCAAGCACAAUCUAGCAAUCAAUUUAGGCAGUUGACAUCCAUGCAAGUUCCUCAAAUGCAGACACCGAACAUGAGCAUUGCUAGGGCUCCACCAGUGAAGGUUGAAGGCUUUCAGGAAUUGAUGGGUGGGGAUGCUUCCGUAAGACAUGACUCCGAGGAAAAUAAGCUAACCUCUCCAUCGAGUAAAUAGCUUUGCCACCUGAGCAUACUUUCCACCACAAUUCUGUUGUCCUUUUGUUGUUUACAGAAAUGUUUAAUUUGUAUAUAUGUUAAUUUAUACUUUUCCGUAGGGUAUUUAUAGUUUUGA